This is a non-coding RNA of Danio rerio (zebrafish), 1343 nucleotides long. The record is from RefSeq and is a predicted model, not a curated record. NCBI's taxonomy places the organism in Eukaryota, Metazoa, Chordata, Actinopteri, Cypriniformes, Danionidae.
GUGUGGCAAAAAAUAUCCCCCACACCAUUACACCACCACCACCAGCCUGAACUGUUGAUACAAGGCAGGAUGGAUCCAUGCUUUCAUGUUGUUGACGCCACAUUCCCUGUGUCCUCAUAAUUUAAAACACUUAAAAAGCAUACUUAACGUUAUUUUAUUUAUUUAUUUUUUUGACCUUCAGAAUUUGCCCCUGGUUUCUGGUUAAGAGUUUGAUACAGGGAUAAGGAGAGGAUAAAUCCAAAUAACAAGUGUUUUUACUGUAAAAUACACUCUGCCCAUGGAGAGUCCUCAUGAACCACUAAAACCAGCAUGUGUUUUGUGUUAGUAAGAGUGCUGCCUUUACAUUUGUCCAGAAUUAGGUUUACCUGCUGUUUUGCACCACCUCUAUGUCAGACCAGUGUGGGUUCCCGUGAUGAAUUAAGGGUAGAAUAAUUGGCAAGGUCCUGCUCUCACUCAGGUCCUCCACUGGGGUUAAAUGCACUCCCUGCAUCCGUCUUAAACACCGUCUCAAUGUGAAACUGCAGGUGACAGAUCAGCUGUGAUUUAUCUGCUGUAGUUACUUUAUCUCCCAUACCUCUCUAUCCUUUUUUUCUUACGAUUCGUGACGGCUUUUCAAUAGGUUUUAUAAAUGAAAUGAUAGAUAGAUCAGACUUUGUUUGGCCGUCCUCUUCUCUCAGGUUUUGAUAGAUGCAAUCCCUCAGGUGCUCGUGUUUAUUGGUCUGAGCGAUGGCGCGCUCUGCAGAAAACGCAUUUCAAUGCCUCCGAAUGUUUUCGUCCUGUCUCAGUGGAGAUCCUGCAGAGGAAGAAGAGAAAUGAGACCGUUUCUGGAGGCAACAGAUGGGUAAAGACGCUUUUGGCUCGAGCACCCACCUGAGAUGAUUCAUCUAUAGGAGAGAGACAUCACUAGUUGUCUGGAAAACAGCUCACACAGAUGCGUCUGCAGGCGACUGGCAGCCGGCCUGGACGGAGGGGAUUUUCAUGCUAUGCUAAUAUCCAUAGCUGCAGGCUAACAGCUCCAGUGUAAUGAUGCUAACAUGCCAGAGCCAUAUGGAAAAACAAAGGCAGGACUUUUUACUGGGAAUACCAAUCUCAGUAUGCAUCAGCACGGAGGGUGUGAUUCAGGUGACAGAUUUUAAUGAGAAUUCCUAACAGAGCACAAACACAUUUUGGCAUGUUGACUUGCUGUUUUGUAUGACUAGAGGAUGUUCGGAAAGGACUGCUAGCUAACUUAGAGUCUUUAAAGCUAAAGUAUGUGAAAGUCUAACCUAAAGAUGAAGGUACCCAACCAUGUACUUGAUGUAUACAGUGAAGCAGUGCAAAUAACACUAAAAAUUAUGAAGAAA